GACGAACGCUGGCGGCGUGCUUAACACAUGCAAGUCGAACGGAAAGGCCCUGCUUUUGUGGGGUGCUCGAGUGGCGAACGGGUGAGUAACACGUGAGUAACCUGCCCUUGACUUUGGGAUAACUUCAGGAAACUGGGGCUAAUACCGGAUAGGAGCUCCUGCUGCAUGGUGGGGGUUGGAAAGUUUCGGCGGUUGGGGAUGGACUCGCGGCUUAUCAGCUUGUUGGUGGGGUAGUGGCUUACCAAGCCUUUGACGGGUAGCCGGCCUGAGAGGGUGGCCGGCCACAUUGGGACUGAGAUACGGCCCAGACUCCUACGGGAGGCAGCAGUGGGGAGUAUUGCACAAUGGGCGGAAGCCUGAUGCAGCAACGCCGCGUGCGGGAUGACGGCCUUCGGGUUGUAAACCGCUUUCGCCUGUGACGAAGCGUGAGUGACGGUAAUGGGUAAAGAAGCACCGGCUAACUACGUG
RNAcentral lists this ribosomal RNA (468 nucleotides) under uncultured bacterium. Its description in RNAcentral is "partial 16S ribosomal RNA". It matches the Rfam family "Bacterial small subunit ribosomal RNA", at positions 28 to 507 of the family's 1533-position model. The record is from RNAcentral.